Non-coding RNA from Anas platyrhynchos (mallard), 588 nucleotides. NCBI's taxonomy places the organism in Eukaryota, Metazoa, Chordata, Aves, Anseriformes, Anatidae. The record is from RefSeq and is a predicted model, not a curated record.
GCCGGGGGGAGAGAGCCGGACUGCUCGGGGUUAGGCUGGGCAUCGGUCAGCGAGUGGAAGCAUCUGGAGUUUCCAUACUGAAGAGACUAUUUUUCUGGCAUGUGCCAAGACACUGAAAGUAAUGCUGCCUUGGGGAAAGGAUCACAGAUGCUCCUUGAUUUCUCACUGAGCAAUUAAUGGAAGCAAUGGCAAGUUUGAAUAUAUACUGUGAAUACAAAGAACUUCAUGAACUUCGUUCAAAUACCGAGAACAAUGGCUAUGAAGUCUGCUUUAAAUUCAUUUUUUUGUUUGUUUGUUUUUCCAUAGGAUUUUAGCACCUAACACAUGAUUUCUAGAGAUAGAUCAUUAAGGAUCAAUAACCAGAACAGCUCCAUUUCGAUCUCCCCAUACCCUGAUUUUUCUUUUUACAGUUAGACUUGUACACACAUGAAGAUGCUGAGUACCCCUUAGAGUACAUCUAUCCUGUUACAUUGAUUUUCUCUCAUUUUCUGUUUUUCACCAUGUCCUGGUUUCAGUUAGCACAGAAUUAAUUUUCUUCCUAGUAGCUGGUGGAAUGCUGUGUUUUGGCUUAGGAUGAGAAGAGUGCUG